Sapajus apella (tufted capuchin) is the source of this 382-nucleotide long non-coding RNA. RefSeq lists it as uncharacterized. The record is from RefSeq and is a predicted model, not a curated record. Lineage: Eukaryota; Metazoa; Chordata; Mammalia; Primates; Cebidae. The transcript is spliced from 4 exons.
GUUAUAAUUCCAACUGUUGUGUUAGGAACUAUAUACACCUAUUAAUGAAAUGUUUGACAUACAAUUUAAUUUUUAUUUCUCUUUUCUAGGUAAAGAGUAGAGUAUAUCAAGUCACCGAACAGCAGAUUUCUGAGAAGUUGAAGAUUAUUAGGAAAGAAAAUACAGAACUUGUACAGAAAUUGUCAAAUUAUGAACAGAAGAUAAAGGAAUCAAAUAAACAUGUUCAAGAAACCAGGAAACAAAAUAUGAUUCUCUCUGAUGAAGCAAUUAAAUUUAAGGAUAAAAUCAAGACACUUGAAAAAAAUAAUGAAAUUCUGGGUGACACAGCUAAAAAUCUUCGUGUUAUGUUAGAAUCUGAGAGAGAACAGAAUGUCAAGAAUCA